CAGCCGCCGCGGUAACACGGAGGAUCCAAGCGUUAUCCGGAAUCAUUGGGUUUAAAGGGUCCUUAGGCGGUCUUGUAAGUCAGUGGUGAAAGCCCAUCGCUCAACGGUGGAACGGCCAUUGAUACUGCAGGACUUGAAUUAUUGGGAAGUAACUAGAAUAUGUAGUGUAGCGGUGAAAUGCUUAGAGAUUACAUGGAAUACCAAUUGCGAAGGCAGGUUACUACCAAUUGAUUGACGCUGAUGGACGAAAGCGUGGGUAGCGAACAGGAUUAGAUACCCGUGUAGUCCCUGUCUCUUAUAC
Molecule: ribosomal RNA, 301 nt
Filed under: uncultured bacterium
Lineage: Bacteria
Description: partial 16S ribosomal RNA
Rfam family: Bacterial small subunit ribosomal RNA
Source: RNAcentral